Molecule: ribosomal RNA, 2622 nt
Filed under: human gut metagenome
Description: bacterial LSU rRNA
Rfam family: Bacterial large subunit ribosomal RNA
Source: RNAcentral
UUAAGCGACUAAGCGUACACGGUGGAUGCCCUGGCAGUCAGAGGCGAUGAAGGACGUGCUAAUCUGCGAUAAGCGUCGGUGAGGUGAUAUGAACCGUUAUAACCGGCGAUUUCCGAAUGGGGAAACCCAGUGUGUUUCGACACACUAUCAUUAACUGAAUCCAUAGGUUAAUGAGGCGAACCGGGGGAACUGAAACAUCUAAGUACCCCGAGGAAAAGAAAUCAACCGAGAUUCCCCCAGUAGCGGCGAGCGAACGGGGAGGAGCCCAGAGCCUGAAUCAGUGUGUGUGUUAGUGGAAGCGUCUGGAAAGGCGUGCGAUACAGGGUGACAGCCCCGUACACAAAAAUGCACAUAUUGUGAGCUCGAUGAGUAGGGCGGGACACGUGGUAUCCUGUCUGAAUAUGGGGGGACCAUCCUCCAAGGCUAAAUACUCCUGACUGACCGAUAGUGAACCAGUACCGUGAGGGAAAGGCGAAAAGAACCCCGGCGAGGGGAGUGAAAAAGAACCUGAAACCGUGUACGUACAAGCAGUGGGAGCCUCUUAAUGGGGUGACUGCGUACCUUUUGUAUAAUGGGUCAGCGACUUAUAUUCUGUAGCAAGGUUAACCGAAUAGGGGAGCCGAAGGGAAACCGAGUCUUAACUGGGCGUUAAGAUGCAGGGUAUAGACCCGAAACCCGGUGAUCUAGCCAUGGGCAGGUUGAAGGUUGGGUAACACUAACUGGAGGACCGAACCGACUAAUGUUGAAAAAUUAGCGGAUGACUUGUGGCUGGGGGUGAAAGGCCAAUCAAACCGGGAGAUAGCUGGUUCUCCCCGAAAGCUAUUUAGGUAGCGCCUCGUGAAUUCAUCUCCGGGGGUAGAGCACUGUUUCGGCAAGGGGGUCAUCCCGACUUACCAACCCGAUGCAAACUGCGAAUACCGGAGAAUGUUAUCACGGGAGACACACGGCGGGUGCUAACGUCCGUCGUGAAGAGGGAAACAACCCAGACCGCCAGCUAAGGUCCCAAAGUCAUGGUUAAGUGGGAAACGAUGUGGGAAGGCCCAGACAGCCAGGAUGUUGGCUUAGAAGCAGCCAUCAUUUAAAGAAAGCGUAAUAGCUCACUGGUCGAGUCGGCCUGCGCGGAAGAUGUAACGGGGCUAAACCAUGCACCGAAGCUGCGGCAGCGACACUAUGUGUUGUUGGGUAGGGGAGCGUUCUGUAAGCCUGUGAAGGUGGCCUGUGAGGGUUGCUGGAGGUAUCAGAAGUGCGAAUGCUGACAUAAGUAACGAUAAAGCGGGUGAAAAGCCCGCUCGCCGGAAGACCAAGGGUUCCUGUCCAACGUUAAUCGGGGCAGGGUGAGUCGACCCCUAAGGCGAGGCCGAAAGGCGUAGUCGAUGGGAAACAGGUUAAUAUUCCUGUACUUGGUGUUACUGCGAAGGGGGGACGGAGAAGGCUAUGUUGGCCGGGCGACGGUUGUCCCGGUUUAAGCGUGUAGGCUGGUUUUCCAGGCAAAUCCGGAAAACCAAGGCUGAGGCGUGAUGACGAGGCACUACGGUGCUGAAGCGACAAAUGCCCUGCUUCCAGGAAAAGCCUCUAAGCAUCAGGUAACAUCAAAUCGUACCCCAAACCGACACAGGUGGUCGGGUAGAGAAUACCAAGGCGCUUGAGAGAACUCGGGUGAAGGAACUAGGCAAAAUGGUGCCGUAACUUCGGGAGAAGGCACGCUGAUAUGUAGGUGAAGCGACUUGCUCGUGGAGCUGAAAUCAGUCGAAGAUACCAGCUGGCUGCAACUGUUUAUUAAAAACACAGCACUGUGCAAACACGAAAGUGGACGUAUACGGUGUGACGCCUGCCCGGUGCCGGAAGGUUAAUUGAUGGGGUUAGCGGUAACGCGAAGCUCUUGAUCGAAGCCCCGGUAAACGGCGGCCGUAACUAUAACGGUCCUAAGGUAGCGAAAUUCCUUGUCGGGUAAGUUCCGACCUGCACGAAUGGCGUAAUGAUGGCCAGGCUGUCUCCACCCGAGACUCAGUGAAAUUGAACUCGCUGUGAAGAUGCAGUGUACCCGCGGCAAGACGGAAAGACCCCGUGAACCUUUACUAUAGCUUGACACUGAACAUUGAGCCUUGAUGUGUAGGAUAGGUGGGAGGCUUUGAAGUGUGGACGCCAGUCUGCAUGGAGCCGACCUUGAAAUACCACCCUUUAAUGUUUGAUGUUCUAACGUUGGCCCGUAAUCCGGGUUGCGGACAGUGUCUGGUGGGUAGUUUGACUGGGGCGGUCUCCUCCUAAAGAGUAACGGAGGAGCACGAAGGUUGGCUAAUCCUGGUCGGACAUCAGGAGGUUAGUGCAAUGGCAUAAGCCAGCUUGACUGCGAGCGUGACGGCGCGAGCAGGUGCGAAAGCAGGUCAUAGUGAUCCGGUGGUUCUGAAUGGAAGGGCCAUCGCUCAACGGAUAAAAGGUACUCCGGGGAUAACAGGCUGAUACCGCCCAAGAGUUCAUAUCGACGGCGGUGUUUGGCACCUCGAUGUCGGCUCAUCACAUCCUGGGGCUGAAGUAGGUCCCAAGGGUAUGGCUGUUCGCCAUUUAAAGUGGUACGCGAGCUGGGUUUAGAACGUCGUGAGACAGUUCGGUCCCUAUCUGCCGUGG